This 460-nucleotide ribosomal RNA is filed under the name uncultured bacterium. Its description in RNAcentral is "partial 16S ribosomal RNA". It matches the Rfam family "Bacterial small subunit ribosomal RNA", at positions 338 to 795 of the family's 1533-position model. The record is from RNAcentral.
CCUACGGGUGGCAGCAGUGAGGAAUAUUGGUCAAUGGCCGGAAGGCUGAACCAGCCAUGCCGCGUGAAGGUCAGUGCCCUAUGGGCGUUAAACUUCUUUUGUGCGGGAGCAAUAAUGGUCACGUGUGGCCAGACGAGAGUACCGUACGAAUAAGCAUCGGCUAACUCCGUGCCAGCAGCCGCGGUAAUAAGGGGGAUGCAAGCGUUAUCCGGAUUUAUUGGGGUUAAAGGGGUCGUAGGCUGUGAGGUAAGUCAGCGGUGAAAUGCCCCCGCUCAACGGGGUGAAGUGCCAUUGAUACUGCCUUGCUGGAAUGCGGAUGCCGUGGGAGGAAUGUGUGGUGUAGCGGUGAAAUGCAUAGAUAUCACACAGAACACCGAUUGCGAAGGCAUCUCACGAAUCCGCGAUUGACGCUGAUGCACGAAAGCGUGGGUAUCAAACAGGAUUAGAUACCCGUGUAGUC